RNAcentral lists this long non-coding RNA (1142 nucleotides) under Daucus carota (carrot). Its description in RNAcentral is "long non-coding RNA (DCAR_LNC001087)". Lineage: Eukaryota; Viridiplantae; Streptophyta; Magnoliopsida; Apiales; Apiaceae. The record is from RNAcentral.
AAAUUAUAAACUGAUUUUAUUAAUUGUUUUGAAUGAGCAAAAAAAAGAAUCAUUACAAUACAAAAGAGAUCAUCUCAUACAAGAACUGUCUUGAUCAAAGAAUUAUAAAAAUAAAUAACUAAAUCGUCACUUGUAUUACAUAAGACUUUUUUUUUUAAUUGAAAAAUAAAAAUUACAAAUUAUCACUAUUUGCAAUUGUCUUCAAAAUCUUGAACUUGUCCCGGUACUUGAACUUGUCCCAGCUCUCCAUAACCGUACUUCCACCUAAACAAAACUCACUAGUUAUAGCAAUAUGAUUUUGUUAAAAAAAUUUAUAUAAAAAAGAACAAUAAAAAAGUAAUAAAUACAAAUAAAUGAUGUCGUACAGAGAGAUUGAGAGGAUAUGAUGGCUUACCCUUAGCGUAGCUACCGUAGUAAAAGAAACAUAAUCCUUUAAUGUAUGUUGCCAAGUACAGAAUACAUUAACUUCCUAUAAUUAAAUGAUAAAAUACAUCUGCAUUUUUAAUAAUCCAAAAUAAACAGAAAGCAGCUCUCACCGUAAAAGAAGAAAAAAGUAGAGCAUGUGCCUCUUAAACUGGAGCAUGUCACCUUUAAUUUUCUGCAAAUAAGCAAUAGCAUGAGUCAAGCUGUCCACCAGGAGAGAAUACAAAAUAUAGAAUCUAAGUAGUUUCCGAUUUGAGCUUAUAUUACAAAAUUGGAAUGAACAUAAUACAUCUAAAAAAAACUUACGUUGACACUUGAGAGUUGAGACUGCUAACAAAACUGGUAGCAUUAUUUGAAAGUCAAUCGAGUACCAAUUUUACUCGAUAUAUAAUAAGUAGUGUCGUCUUCUGCCCAAGAUGACUUGUCAAGAUUCUUAUGAAACAAGAUGUUAAUCUCAGUAUCAAUAUGACUAAUAGAAUAUCUUUUUGUCACUGAAAGAGAUGAAGAAAAACGUAAAAUAGACCGCAAGAAUGUUAUACAAGAGACCGGAAUCUAUAGAUGAGACAGACCUUCUAUAGAGGAUUUUAUAGAGAAUGGCAGAUCUAUUUGCUGAAUUUAGGAUCAAACAUCCUGAAAAAUCAGUACUUACAAACCAAGCUGCGGGAGAAGAAAUUUGGACUUUAAAGAAGACGUUCUUUAGAUGAGCAUUCAAUUUUUUA